UACGUAGGGUGCAAGCGUUGUCCGGAAUUAUUGGGCGUAAAGAGCUCGUAGGCGGUUUGUCGCGUCUGCUGUGAAAACUCGGGGCUUAACUCCGGGCCUGCAGUGGGUACGGGCAGACUAGAGUGCGGUAGGGGAGACUGGAAUUCCUGGUGUAGCGGUGAAAUGCGCAGAUAUCAGGAGGAACACCGGUGGCGAAGGCGCCACUCUGGGCCGGUACUGACGCUCAUGCACGAAAGCGUGGGGAGCAAACAGG
This 253-nucleotide ribosomal RNA is filed under the name uncultured bacterium. Its description in RNAcentral is "partial 16S ribosomal RNA". It matches the Rfam family "Bacterial small subunit ribosomal RNA", at positions 524 to 776 of the family's 1533-position model. The record is from RNAcentral.